Molecule: ribosomal RNA, 443 nt
Filed under: uncultured bacterium
Lineage: Bacteria
Description: partial 16S ribosomal RNA
Rfam family: Bacterial small subunit ribosomal RNA
Source: RNAcentral
CCUACGGGUGGCAGCAGUGGGGAAUAUUGCACAAUGGGGGGAACCCUGAUGCAGCAACGCCGCGUGAAGGAAGACGGUUUUCGGAUUGUAAACUUCUAUCAAUAGGGAAGAAAGAAAUGACGUUACCUGAAUAAGAAGCCCCGGCUAACUACGUGCCAGCAGCCGCGGUAAUACGGAGGGGGCAAGCGUUAGCCGGAAUUACUGGGUGUAAAGGGCGAGUAGGCGGCAAGGUAAGCGAGAUGUGAAAUCCUUAGGCUUAACCUGAGGAUUGCAUAAAGAACUAUCAAGCUAGAGUACAGGAGAGGAAGGCGGAAUUCUUGGUGUAGCGGUAAAAUGCGUAGAGAUUAGGAAGAACACCAGUGGCGAAGGCGGCUUUCUAGACUGAAACUGACGCUGAGGCUCGAAAGCGUGGGGAGCGAACAGGAUUAGAUACCCGGGUAGUC